AUUGAACGCUGGCGGCAGGCUUAACACAUGCAAGUCGAGCGGGGGAAGGUAGCUUGCUACCGGACCUAGCGGCGGACGGGUGAGUAAUGCUUAGGAAUCUGCCUAUUAUUGGGGGACAACAUCUCGAAAGGGAUGCUAAUACCGCAUACGUCCUACGUGUGAAACCAGGGGAUCUUCGGACCUUGCGCUAAUAGAUGUGCCUAAGUCGGAUUAGCUAGCUGGUGGGGUAAAGGGCUACCAAGGCGACGUUCUGUAGCGGGUCUGAGAGGAUGAUCCGCCACACUGGGACGGAGACACGGCCCAGACUCCUACGGGAGGCAGCAGUGGGGAAUAUUGGAGAAUGGGGGGAACCCUGAUCCAGCCAUGCCGCGUGUGUGAAGAAGGCCUUAUGGUUGGAAAGCACUUUAAGCGAGGAGGAGGCUACUUUAGUUAAUACCUAGAGAUAGUGGACGUUACUCGCAGAAUAAGCACCGGCUAACUCUGUG
This 485-nucleotide ribosomal RNA is filed under the name uncultured bacterium. Its description in RNAcentral is "partial 16S ribosomal RNA". It matches the Rfam family "Bacterial small subunit ribosomal RNA", at positions 30 to 507 of the family's 1533-position model. The record is from RNAcentral.